GCGCUCGUAGCUCAACCAGGCAGAGCACUGGGCUUUUAACCCAUCGGUUGUAGGUUCGAUUCCUACCGGGCGUACCC
This 77-nucleotide transfer RNA is filed under the name Acidiferrobacteraceae bacterium. Its description in RNAcentral is "tRNA-Lys". It matches the Rfam family "tRNA". Rfam says of the family: Transfer RNA (tRNA) molecules are approximately 80 nucleotides in length. Their secondary structure includes four short double-helical elements and three loops (D, anti-codon, and T loops). Lineage: Bacteria; Pseudomonadati; Pseudomonadota; Gammaproteobacteria; Acidiferrobacterales; Acidiferrobacteraceae. The record is from RNAcentral.